Molecule: non-coding RNA, 205 nt
Organism: Ceratotherium simum simum (southern white rhinoceros)
Lineage: Eukaryota; Metazoa; Chordata; Mammalia; Perissodactyla; Rhinocerotidae
Source: RefSeq, a predicted model, not a curated record
AACACACCACUCUCAUCAAUGGACAGAUCAUCCAGACAGAAAAUGAAUAAGGAAAUAAUGGGCCUAAACGAAAAGCUAGAUGAGACGGACUUAAUAGACAUAUACAGAGCACUCCAUCCAAACACAGCAGAUUACACAUUCUUUUCAAGCGUGCAUGGAACGUUCUCAAGAAUAGAACAUAUUUUGGCAACCGAAGCAAACAUCA